CCCAUAACAAAACCAGGUUUGUUUAUUGUGUUGUUCACGCAUGUGGGCUGUGAAUAAGUUCCAGUUGUAUUUUGUGCUCUUAAAGUGUUCACCGUCCAAUCCCAGUGCAGUCGCCUCCAGGUUCCAGGGGGAAGUUACCAAGUGGUACGACAAAGCAGGAACUCAAACAAGGUGUGAGAUGCUGUCAGAGUCUGCCAGUGGAAACUCCUUGUUCAGCUCCCUGAUGGAGCGAGUCAGGAGCAGCCUCCUCACCGUGCUCCUCCUGCGCCCCAUAGAAGAGCCCUUCAGUAAUGCGACAAGGGAGAAGGUGGACGUCAGGAAGCAGAUGGUCCAGUUAAAGGAGAGAUGUAACUAGUACCUGUCCAUCAUUGUUGGCAGUGGAGCAGCAGAAGGAGGAAGCCGCAGUACCUGGAAAUACCCACGCAGAUACCGGGAGAAGAUACAACUGCAAACAGACACAAGAACAUUAUGGCUGUGAGGCUACAGUGCCAACCGCUGCACCACCGUGCCACCACAAGGAAGGGAUGUGGAAGGGAACUGUGGAAAUUGAAAAGAGUUGUCUGGAGAACGAGAGGAGUGGAUCCGAUGUGGAUCCUACAGAGAAAUAUCACCCAGCUCUGCCGCUUCCCACAAAGAUGGAUUGACAGCGAUGCCGAAGAUUUCGUGUAAUAUGGGGAGUACAGAGAAAGAAGACAAAUAAUAAGUGGUUGGCAGACAGCGAGGAAUCCGAGGAGCCAUCGCAGGGGGAUGUGGAGGGAAGGAAGAGCGAUGAGAGGGAGGGAAAUGGGGGGGAAAUGGGGACUGAUUAAAGAUGAGAGGGAGUGCUGAGGUCAGUGUAAAAAAUAUUUAAAGAUGGAGACAUAGAGGAAGGAGGGAGCAGAGGGAGGAUUAGUAAACAUUUGAUCAUCAAUUUAGACAGAAUAAAUGUACAAGUGAAGACUUUGCAGAGUACAUUGUUCUCUUUUUUACAGACUGUUCAACGUGAAAACAAGCCAAGAAUACAGAGCAAAGAGUGAGAAGAGGAAGGCUAUUUAACACAACUGGGUAUUGUGGAAAUGCACAGUGGAGGUGGAGAGUAGACUGGAGGAGAGACUAAUUCCACUGCACCAAUGCUGAUGGAUGGACUAAAGGAACCUUAUUUUUACCUUAUAAAUGUUUUAUUCCUAGAUCCUCCAAACUAUUAACCGCUUCCCCUUUGUUCCUCUACUCUUCCUCUCUUCCUCUCCCCUCACUCCACCACUUCUAAGCUCUCUGCUGGGAUCAAACUUUUAGAGCAGCUCCGACUUUGUUCGUAGUCAGCAUGUUCUCAAAAUUGCAGCUAAAGCUUUGUCACGUUCGGUGUGUAACCUGCCUGCACACGAUGAAACCCUGGACAGUACGAAUCAACGACACUCCAUUCACACUGAAUGCAUGCAGGCCUUGUGUUUGUUCUGUAGAUCUGCACGCGAUGGCAGAUACAGAUUCAAUCCGUUUUGUGACAUAGUUCCUGGGUUGGAUUUGAUUUGAUCUGUAUGAGUAAUUUUAGCUUUAGUUUUGUCAAUUUAGCUUAGCUCAGUUUCCUAUACAUAGACUAUAUUAGUCUAUAUAUUGAGAUUUAUGAAGUGUCUCAUCUUCCUCUUCAUUCUACACAAAUUAAGCCGAAACAUUGCAUGUAUAAUGGCAGCCAUCUUGCUCCGAUGUCAUUUGGAGCCAGAGUCUGCACAGUAGCGAUCGGGUGGGGGAGUCGAGUCAUUCGCAGGCUCACUUGGUGUGUUUUGAGUUCUACAAGCUGCUGCUCAGUCAACAUGGGCGAGUCCAUGAAACACAGAGCGCUCAUGAACAUCGUGUUCACAUCCCAUUGGAUUUUAUAAUUUUUUAAUCAUACGGACAACCCACUCUUAAUGUCCUGAAACACCUUCCGCUGUGAGUUCUGUCUAGAGGUUUAGUCUCCCCCCCCUUGAACACAGCCCCUGUGUCUUAGCAAUUAUAGAGCUGGAGAAGCUGCCCAGCUUCCAUCCACUGCAGCACCUCGGAGACAGGAACCUUUGCUUUGCCACCACGAGCGUGUGUGUUACUGGAGGUUUUUCAUUGAUUUACUGCUGCAGUGAGUAUAUUCCUCCCACUAGUGACAAUAAAGUUAAAGUGAAGUCAAGUGUGAGCGCUGGUGCAGGAGAGUUUGAAAGAAGCAGCUUGCGUCUGCUUGCGUCUUCAUCAGGUUCCUCCUGCUGUGAACCGAAACGUUUCAAGGUUCUGCUUAAGUGUGGCUGUGACAGCCGAGAACAACUGUGUGCUUUCUGUGUUAUUCUGUGUGUUUAUAUUACACCCGGGCGAUGAUGAAUACGUGUCUUCUCCCCCUGCUUUUUGUAUUCUUCUGACAACUGAGGAUCUAUUCAUGGCUGACUCACUCAAAAGAGUAGAGAGCAAGAGAGUGUGUGGGUUUUUUGGAUAUCUGUCACUUACUUCUGUUGCUUUAUUCCAUGGGUGGGAAUUAGAUUUGACAAAGUCGAGCUCAAUAUUAAUGUGAUCACAGGAGGAUUUUGUUGCUGCCGAGAUUUCCUCUCCCCUCAGCUCAGAGUAGAGUCUGGUGUUGAUCUGCCUCGGCUACGGAGGCCAUGAUUCAUGAGUCGAGAUAACUCGAUGAAAGUUUCACAUGAUUAAUGAAAACAUACAUUAAACAUUCCUCUUUCUCCUUACACCUCCACAGCUCUGCUCUUCAUCUCAAGCCUCUUCAGACAAGAACUCCGGAGUAUGACCAAUGGAUGGCUCCAAACCUUCUCUGCUCAGACAUGUUGACAGCAACACAGAAAUCUCCGGAGGCCUCAGUUUCUGUCAAGUCCUCAUAGACUGGAUUGCUCGCCUGUGACUCGCGUCUCAAAGCCAGUGCGUUAAAAUCACCGUCUUCAUGCACGGGAAUCUGCUGAGUCUGUACCUGGAUGAGCACGAGGAGAGUCCCUGGGAUGCUCUGACGUAUCUCAUUGCUGGGGUCAACUAUGGAGGUCAUGUCACUGAUGACUGGGACGGACAUCUUCUAACAACAUACAUCAGUGACUACUGCUGUGGUGCUGACAUUACCCAGUCCUUCUGCAAGUGGGAAACAGACAAACAAACACACACACACACACUGUUCUGCCACAGCCUUGGCACGUUUCUUUAUGUCUCUAAUACUAGAUUGAGCCCCACUUGAGAUCUGCUAUACUGAAAUAUAAAAACCCACUUUAAAGGUGCUAUAUUUAAAAUGUACACUGCUCUAAAUAAAUGAGUGAAUGCAUCUAUUUGUGUCAAAAUGCAUAAUUUCCACUGAUUAAAAUAACAGUUUUUCUGAGAAAGCGCACUGCGGCUGCACUCAGCCGACAGAGGCCUCUCCAACUCCCCACUGAAGCUCGUGGAGGCGGCAGAGUGCUAGCACCACCACGUGGACAACCAGAUGACAUUAUCCCGAGAAAUAUAGACACAGUGGCAGCCUGAUGAACACUGACAGGAACACUAAGUCCUUGCUUUUCUUCAUUUAAUCACUUGCACAAAUCCACACAGGCACCGCUGUCCACUAACUUCAUUUGUAACCAAACAGAGAUUUAAGGUCGGUAGAGCAGAUAAAAUAAAAAUCUCUUAUUUACAAAAGGGAAGAUAAAUCGAGGUCGUCCGGAUUUUCUGCUGUCACUUGAUUGAGCUGUAAUGGCGUGAUGAAGUCGUGAAGCCACAUGAAUAAUUGAGCUCGAAAACAGUAAAACAACUUAGUAUGCACAUUAGAAGAAACCAUCUUGUUAUUGAUUUGACUUUAAUAUAAAUUAUUUAUUUUUACCCGGAUAAAAUGAAUAAUAGAAUGUAAAUAUCUAAAGGCAUUGAGGGGAAAAGAAAAAUAUAGUUGUAAUGAUUUUGUAUUUUAUUUACUAAUAUGUAUGAGUCAUACAGAAAUUCUUCAUGUGUCAAAGUUCAUGCUUAUUUACCAGCAAAUUUCCAGGGAUUUAUCUGCUAAUACCUGGAUUAGCCUGUACCUGGACGACUGUGUUCUGGUGGGGAUUACAGUCUCUACAAUUUACAACUUACAAGUUGUAAUA
Molecule: long non-coding RNA, 4034 nt
Organism: Pleuronectes platessa (European plaice)
Lineage: Eukaryota; Metazoa; Chordata; Actinopteri; Pleuronectiformes; Pleuronectidae
Exons: 6
Source: RefSeq, a predicted model, not a curated record